This 239-nucleotide long non-coding RNA is filed under the name Bos taurus (domestic cattle). RNAcentral's name for it is "long non-coding RNA NONBTAT010967". Lineage: Eukaryota; Metazoa; Chordata; Mammalia; Artiodactyla; Bovidae. The record is from RNAcentral.
AAUUAAUAUGCUCCCUCCAAAAAGGGUCAAUUAUUUUCUAUAGCUCUGAGUGAUGGGAAAUUUUAAAGAUAUUUCCAACUGAACAUAUCUUGGGCUCUUCCAAUUUCAACUGUCUCAGUUUACAUGCUUCUUCUAUUGAAAGUUCCACUUCCUAUCAAGGGUGCAUUACAUGGUCUCAUUAGAUAAACAUUCAGUCUUCUGAAGUUGACAUUCCCUCCUCAAAAUGGUGAUUGGAUAUA